This 385-nucleotide long non-coding RNA is filed under the name Gallus gallus (chicken). Lineage: Eukaryota; Metazoa; Chordata; Aves; Galliformes; Phasianidae. The record is from RNAcentral.
CGUGUGGAGAUGCUGAUUCCCCCUGGAUGCAGGUGCUUGAGAGCCAGCUCCUCCAAGGGAGAAGGGAACUCGUUAUCAUUAACUGUGCUUAGUGAGCGGUCCGACUCCUUGGGUGGAAAUGCUCCCUUCUGCACAAAGCAGUUCUGUUACUACGUUGUGUCACCGUGUACCCAAAUAUCUACUUGAUGUCAGUGCUAAAACAUUGGCUGCACUUGAUACGACCAUAACUGGGGGUCCGAGCUGUUGUUUAGAACGCCUCAAAGACUGAAGACCUUGAAAAUUACAGUACCACAGCAUUUCUGCUACCUCAAGGCCAAAUCCCAAAUCAGAAACCCCGAACAGGGUCAGUUCAGCAAAAAGAUGAGCCCUGUGGAUGGAAGGACAC